UCAGUCACAUAUACGUAGAAGAACUCGAUUUAGUCAAACAAAAUAUAAAUACAAAUUUACAGCUUGACGAAAAAUCACAUUAAAUCCACUAGUCUUCAAUUUUAGAAAACAAACGCUGUAACUAGUUGUCCAAUUGAAGAGAAGUUGGUUUUUCUCCUCUACACAUUUCUUCUUUUUGCUGGGGCCCACCACACAUUUCCUCCUUAUAAUCUCAUAGCCUGCUUAUGCUUUGCUGCGUAUCCAUCCAAAUUCUAGCGCACAAACAGCUGCUUCAUCCCAAGAAUAAUAAUAAACACCAGCAAUCGUAGCAGCAUCUGCAGCGGCUGCUCUACCUCCUGCUGCUUGCUCCGCUCGACGCCAAGGAGCCCCGGACGAUUUGGUGACUCGCAGUGCCUUCUUUAACCGGCAAGCGCCGUGCCACGCUGGAUACAAAGAAACCACUAGCAGGAUAAAAAAUAGAAGGUCUGUAAUUCAUACUUCAUCAAGUCGCUCUUUUGCAUUUGUGUAGGAAAAACUCCUUUUGGGUGAAAAGAUGUGCAUUAUUAUAUUAAUUUGUACAUACCAAUAUUUUGGAUAUUGUAGCAUUUGCACGGUUGCGAGAAAACACAUGUUCUGCCAUCGACCAUCAGUCCUGAGUCGACAGAUGUAGUAAACAGAAAAACAAAUUAGAAAGGAUACACAAGUGCAAUCUAUAGUUGAAACAAAAAGAAAUAAAUUAGAACUCACGUUAAGUAUUUUUAAGGAAAAAAAAAGAUCCUGUUGAAGUACAAUGCUGGACUAAAAAAUCAAUCCAAUAUUUUAGAUCCCGUGGAAAGGAUAAAUAGCACAGGAAACUGAAUAGUAGUUCUAAAAAGAGGAAUUCGGAGAAAGGAAAAUUGCACAAAUACACUAUCUUUAGGGUUGAGGUAAAAGAAAAGCCACAAGUCCAAGGGAUUUUAAUUAAUAUCCACAACUCCGUGGAUAAGUUUUAACAAAAAAAAGACACAUAAUUUCUCUGAUUAGUCACUUAACACGAAAUAUGACGCAGAGGUUCCACGUCUCGUUGACUAGAGGGACGGCUCAGCUUGAGUCGAGCCUGGUUCUGCUUGGCUUUUGUUCUCAACCAAAUCUGAUAAAAGGUGUGUUUUUUGUUACCACAUUUCUGGACUUGUGCGUAUCAGUUAAAAUCCUCUGGACUUGUGGUUUUGUGCUGCAUCAGCCUUAAAGGUUGUAUAUCCGUGCAAUUUCCUCAUUUAUAAAAUAAUAAUGGAAAAGGUAGAGAAGAAAAUAAUGGAAUUGAAAAUGUGUUAAACAAUAGCAGAAGAGGUUAGCCAUGAAUUUUAUCAGAAUAUGUUCACUGGUUUUGAAGUGUAGCAUGUGGAAUUACUUGAAGCUUACAUUUCUUCUCUUAUUCCCAGCAUCUUCGAUGCUCCCUGUUCUUCUGUUGCUUCUCUUGUCAUAUGUAUUCCAAGCGGCAUCAGUUAGAGCAUUCAAUAAUAGGACUGAUGUGGAUUCCUUGCUGGUGUUCAAGGCAAGCAUAAGCAACCAGCACGGUGUCCUAGCUGCAUGGAACACAAGUACAGACUUCUGCCAGUGGCCAGGCAUCGGUUGCAGCCUUAAGCAUAAGCACAGGGUCACAGUGCUUAACCUCUCUUCGGAGGUCCUUGGUGGCACGAUCGCACCUUCCAUUGGGAACCUCUCUUUCUUGAGAAUUCUAGAUCUCAGGCGGAACAAUCUGCAAGGUGAAAUACCUUCAUCCUUUGGUCGCCUGUCUCGCCUACGAUAUCUUAAUUUAUCCAACAACUCACUUCAUGGUGAUGUAAAUGAUAAAUUGAAGAAUUGCACCAGCCUUGAAAGAAUGCACAUUGGUUCAAACCGUUUGGCUGGAGAAAUCCCUGCUUGGCUCGGAGACUUGUUAAGUCUCAAAGUCAUAGACCUAGGCAGUAACAACUUCACUGGAAUCAUCCCGUCGUCACUUACCAAUCUCUCAGCAGUGCAAGCAAUCUAUUUCAACACAAACCAACUUGAGGGUGUCAUCCCUGAGGGCCUUGGCAGGCUUGGUGGCCUUGCCUACAUAGACUUGGGAGAAAAUUGCCUCUCAGGCACCAUCCCUACAGCUCUCUUGAACCAUUCCUCUCUAAUAGGCUUGGGUGUGGGAGCAAAUGAUUUGUGCGGUAAACUUCCCCCGGACUUUGGGGAUCAGCUCCCAAAUCUUGAGUACCUACUCCUUGGUGUUAACCACUUUACAGGAAACCUUCCAGCUUCUCUUGUCAACUCAACUAAGAUAUAUGAGCUAGAUGUCUCCUUCGACAACUUCACCGGAAUAUUGCCUCCAGAGAUUGGAAUGCUCUGCCUAGAACAACUCACUCUCGGAGCAAAUCAGUUCAUGGCAAAUACUGUGCAGGACUGGGAGUUCUUGACAUUGUUGACAAACUGCACACGCCUCCGUACAUUUAGCCUCCAGCUCAACAUGCUAGGUGGCAUGCUGCCUAUUUCAGUUGCCAACCUAUCAGCACAACUCGAAUUGCUAUAUGUUGGAGCCAAUGAGAUUUCUGGAAAAAUACCAUUUGGCAUAGGCAAUCUUGUUGGAUUAACUCAAUUGCAGCUAGCUAAUAACCAAUUUACUGGUUCCUUGCCUGACACCAUAGGGAGGCUAAAUUCGCUACAAACCCUGGAGUUGCAAAAUAACCUAGUGACAGGGUUCAUGCCAUCGUCUCUUGGGAACUUGACACAACUACUAAAUCUGUACACACACAACAACAUGUUUGAGGGGCCUCUUCCAACAAGCCUCGGGAGCCUACAAGAGAUAAUUUCAGCAACCUUCUCAAACAAUAAGUUCACAGGUCCAUUGCCUAAAGACAUCUUUAACCUAUCGUCACUGUCAGACGCCCUGGAUUUGUCUAGGAAUUACUUUGUUGGUUCCCUUCCACCAGAAGUAAGCGGCUUGACAAACCUUGCACACUUAUACUUAUCACGGAACAACUUGUCAGGGCCCCUACCUAAUACACUCAGCAACUGUCAAAGCUUGAUAGAACUUGGGCUGGACGAUAACUCCUUUGAUAGCAGCAUUCCCUCAUCUAUCAGCAACAUGCGAGGUCUGAUGUUGCUAAAUCUUACAAAGAACAUGCUUUCAGGUGUUAUUCCUAAAGAUCUAGGGCUAAUGAGUGGCCUUCAAGAGUUAUACCUAGCAUGCAACAACUUGUCUGGUCAUAUCCCAGAAAGCUUGGAAAACAUGGCAUCAUUGUACCAGUUAGACCUGUCAUUCAACCAUUUGGAUGGCAAAGUUCCAUCAUGGGGAGUGUUCAGUAAUGCAUCUGGGUUUUCGUUUGGUGGGAAUUUGGGGCUUUGUGGUGGUCUACCAGAUUUACAUUUGCCCCCAUGCCAGCCGGAAUCCGUGGGACAUGGCUUGAGCAAACGCCAUUUGACUAUGAUCCUAGUUACUGCAAUUGCUGGCAUAAUUCUUGCUUUGAGUUUGGUGCUUGUUUUCUUCACAAUGAGAAAGAUAUCAAAAGCUCGGCCUACAACCAUAGGAGGAUUCCAGUUGAUAGUUGACAGUUAUCCCAGAGUUACUUAUGCUGAAUUGGUCCAAGGAACAAGUGGCUUUGCAGUAGACCACUUGAUUGGCAGAGGAAGGUAUGGAUCGGUGUAUAAGUGUUGUUUACUACUAAAAAAUAUGAUGACCACAGUAGCUGUAAAGGUUUUUGAUCUUCAACAGUCUGGCUCUUCCAGAAGCUUUUUAGCUGAGUGCGAGGCACUUAGUAAAAUCCGCCAUCGUAAUUUGGUCAGUCUCAUAACUUGUUGUUCAAGCACUGACUCGAACCAAAACGACUUCAAAUCCAUUGUGUUCGAGUUCAUGCCUAAUGGGAGCCUGGAUAGGUGGUUACACAUGGAUGUACAUGUAUCACAUCAACUUCAAGGCUUGACAUUGAUGCAGAGACUAAAUAUUGCAGUUGAUAUUGCUGAUGCACUAGAUUAUUUGCACAAUAACUGUGAUCCACCAAUAGUUCACUAUGACUUGAAGCCAGGCAACAUUCUUCUUAAUGAGGAUUUAGUUGCUCAUGUUGGGGACUUUGGCCUUGCAAAGAUUCUUUCUGAACCAGCAGCUAACCAACUGAUCAAUUCAAAGAGCACAGUUGGAAUAAGAGGAACAAUUGGAUACGUCGCUCCAGGUAGCUAAACUUUUCUCUAACAUGACAUACUGCACAACAUUAAAUUUGCGUGCAAAUCACUAAUUCUUGUCUAUGCAAUGUAGAAUAUGGCGAAGGUGGCCAGGUUUCUUCAUGUGGAGAUGUGUACAGCCUCGGAACUGUCAUCCUCGAGUUGUUUACAGGCAUGGCACCUACUCAUGACAUGUUCAGAGAUGGGUUGACCCUGCAGAAACAUGCCCAGAAUGCUUUUCCAGAGAUGCUAAUGCAGAUUGCUGAUCCAGUCCUACUGUCCACUGAAGAAGCCAAUACUAAUAGUUUGCAGGAUGGAAGCAACACAAUGGAACAUGCCAUAUUCUCUGUCAUGAAGGUUGCGCUAUCAUGCAGCAAGCAUGCACCGACAGAGAGAAUGUGCAUCAGAGAUGCUGCUGCUGCGAUUCAGAGGAUAAGAGAUGGCUAUGUUAAAGCAAGACAAAAUGAGGGGGUUGUUACAGCUGCAUUUACCGCAAGGCAUUUUGCUGAAACAUCCUGGGCAGCCCCUUGAACUGGCAUCACACACUCACUCUUAAUUAAUGGCCUUGUAGUAGUUAUAUAUUGCACUCCUAUGGUUUUGAUAUGUUAGUUUCUGGCUGGCGAUGUUAUCUUAGCUUGUUGAUCUGCCGUUUGCAGCCUGUAUGUCACUCUGCCUUCAACAGUUAAUAUGGUUUGUAUAUUGUGAUGCCUAAAUACAGAUAUUAGUGAAUUCCCUUCCGUGUAAAAGACAGGUAUAACUGCAUGAUAUAUGCACUAAUAACACGACUGGACAAAUCUGUAUUUUGUUCCCAGGAGUUUAAAUGGUCAUUAUAUGAAGGUAGAUUUGUAUAAAUAAAGGGCAGAUACACGAUAAAUAUGGUAUCAUGAUUCUGUUCUAUUAGAAGAGAAAAAAAAACUCUUUUAGAUGGAGAAAGGAUAUCCGGUACUCACCAUACUCCAGGCGGUCAUUACAUUGCAAUGUCACAGGCAAUACUUGUCUUCAGUGUCUUCUAUCUGCUGUCAUUUAAAAAUGCAACUAUUGCCCCUGCUUUUUCGGAAGGGAAGACAGAAGUGGUGUUAAGCAGGCAGUGAGGAAAUAACAACGCGAUUGAGAAAAAGAAAGUGAACAUUACUGAAUACAAUAACAAUAAUAAUAAUAAUAACUGCUACUGAGACAACAAGUAUAUGCUAUGUACGCACCCUAUAAAAUGUAGUUUGCCUUUUGCCCUCUAAAGUUUUGACCCUAUUUUUCUUCCUCCUCCGGCUCUUAAAAAAAUAUGAUGAUCAAAAUCAAACACCAUGUCCAGAAACCAACAAAACACCCUUAUUGAAACAUAAACCAACAAAGCCAUGAUGUUUAUUUUGGCUCUGCUAUACUACUGGGAAGACUUCAACUCCUACUAGUCUCCCAUUUUUUUUUCGAAACGGAGGCAAAAGAUUUACCUCAUCGAUUAAUUAAGGAGAAGAGAAUUGCCCAGUUAAUUAACGGAAAACCGGGCGAAAACCGAUACAGACCAACCACACGUGGACUACUCACACAACAUGCAA
This 5684-nucleotide long non-coding RNA is filed under the name Triticum aestivum (bread wheat). RNAcentral's name for it is "long non-coding RNA (TAES_LNC010915)". Lineage: Eukaryota; Viridiplantae; Streptophyta; Magnoliopsida; Poales; Poaceae. The record is from RNAcentral.